Molecule: small nucleolar RNA, 107 nt
Filed under: Oryza sativa Indica Group (long-grained rice)
Lineage: Eukaryota; Viridiplantae; Streptophyta; Magnoliopsida; Poales; Poaceae
Description: Plant small nucleolar RNA R71
Rfam family: Plant small nucleolar RNA R71
About the family: R71 is a member of the C/D box family of snoRNAs containing the C (UGAUGA) and D (CUGA) box motifs. Multiple nearly identical copies of this snoRNA have been identified in Arabidopsis, and it is thought to function as a 2'-O-ribose methylation guide for 18S ribosomal RNA.
Source: Rfam by way of RNAcentral
AUCCCAUGAUGAGGACAGGCAGCCACGUACUCCUGCAGCUGUUCCCAUCCUUCAGGAAUGGACACGUCCCUUGUCUGCUGGAAACUUGAAAUUCGUCCUCAAAGGGC